UACAGAGGUCUCGAGCGUUGUUCGGAUUCAUUGGGCGUAAAGGGUGCGUAGGUGGCGCUGUAAGUCGGGUGUGAAAUCCUGAGGCUUAACCUCGGAACUGCAUUCGAUACUGCGGCGCUUGAGGACUGGAGAGGAGACUGGAAUUCCUGGUGUAGCGGUGAAAUGCGCAGAUAUCAGGAGGAACACCGGUGGCGAAGGCGGGUCUCUGGGCAACAACUGACGCUGAGGAGCGAAAGCGUGGGGAGCGAACAGG
RNAcentral lists this ribosomal RNA (253 nucleotides) under uncultured bacterium. Its description in RNAcentral is "partial 16S ribosomal RNA". It matches the Rfam family "Bacterial small subunit ribosomal RNA", at positions 524 to 776 of the family's 1533-position model. The record is from RNAcentral.